UCAGAUGUUAAACGUGAAGGAUAACGUUGCUUCAGCAACGGCCCGAAGGGCGAGGCGAAGCCGAGUCAUCCUGCACGACCUACCA
This 85-nucleotide small RNA is filed under the name Citrobacter sp. Ca226. Its description in RNAcentral is "partial RtT sRNA". It matches the Rfam family "RtT RNA", at positions 43 to 130 of the family's 130-position model. Rfam says of the family: This family represents a bacterial cis-regulatory element known as RtT RNA. The exact function of RtT is unknown although it is thought that it may be involved in changing the cellular response in relation to amino acid starvation. Lineage: Bacteria; Pseudomonadati; Pseudomonadota; Gammaproteobacteria; Enterobacterales; Enterobacteriaceae. The record is from RNAcentral.